GAUGAACGCUCGCUGUGUGCCUAAUACAUGCAUGUUGAACGGGAUGUAGCAAUACAUUCAGUAGCGAAUGGGUGAGUAACACGUACCUAACCUACCUUUAAGACUGGGAUAACUAUUGGAAACAAUAGCUAAUACCGGAUAUAGUUAUUUAUCGCAUGAUGAGUAAUAGAAAGGAGCUUCACAGCUUCACUUAAAAAUGGGGGUGCGGAACAUUAGUUAGUUGGUAGGGUAAUGGCCUACCAAGACGAUGAUGUUUAGCCGGGCCGAGAGGCUGUACGGCCACACUGGGACUGAGAUACGGCCCAGACUCCUACGGGAGGCAGCAGUAAGGAAUUUUCCACAAUGAGCGAAAGCUUGAUGGAGCGACACAGCGUGCAGGAUGAAGUUCUUCGGAAUGUAAACUGCUGUUAUAAGGGAAGAAAAAAUAGAAUAGGAAAUGAUUUUAUCUUGACGGUACCUUAUUAGAAAGCGACGGCAAACUAUGUGCCAGCCGCUGCGGUAAUACAUAGGUCGCAAGCGUUAUCCGGAAUUAUUGGGCGUAAAGCGUCCGUAGGUUUUUUGCUAAGUCUGGAGUUAAAUGCUGAAGCUCAACUUCAGUCCGCUUUGGAUACUGGCAAAAUAGAAUUAUAAAGAGGUUAGCGGAAUUCCUAGUGAAGCGGUGGAAUGCGUAGAUAUUAGGAAGAACACCAAUAGGCGAAGGCAGCUAACUGGUUAUAUAUUGACACUAAGGGACGAAAGCGUGGGGAGCAAACAGG
RNAcentral lists this ribosomal RNA (755 nucleotides) under uncultured Mycoplasma sp. RNAcentral's name for it is "bacterial SSU rRNA". It matches the Rfam family "Bacterial small subunit ribosomal RNA", at positions 28 to 776 of the family's 1533-position model. The record is from RNAcentral. Lineage: Bacteria; Bacillati; Mycoplasmatota; Mollicutes; Mycoplasmatales; Mycoplasmataceae.